Molecule: long non-coding RNA, 4978 nt
Filed under: Sus scrofa (pig)
Lineage: Eukaryota; Metazoa; Chordata; Mammalia; Artiodactyla; Suidae
Description: lncRNA (ENSSSCG00000056155.1)
Source: RNAcentral
GUGACAGGAGGGAAGGGCUGGGAUCAAAGCCCCCCCCCCCCCCCAUGUCAGGAAUGUAAAAGUGAAUAAGGCAAAUUUCCUGUUCUCAGUGUCCUCACUGGCUGGUCAGGUAAAUAGCCCUGGGGAGGCUUCCUAAAAGAAAUAAGAUUUGAAUUGUCCUUAGAAUAGAUAAUACUUGAGCAGGCAGAGGUGAAGGAGGAAAGGUGUUAAAAGAGAGAGCCACUCAUUUACAAUUAAAAAAAAAAAUACUUUUCAAGCAUCUUCUAUGUGCAAAUCCCCAAUUCUGGUGUGAGCAAUGAACAAGACAGAAUAGGUCUGUUCCUUUGUGGAGCUUAUAUUCAAGAGGAAGGGAACCAGAAGGGAACCAGAAAUGGAACGAAUACAUAAGAUAAUUUUGUAUUGUGCUAUAUCCUAGGAAAGAACCAAAUCAGACUGAUACGGUAGUAGGGCAUAACUGGGGAUGGGAGGACCAAUUUAGAAAGGAUGGAUGGUCAGGGAAGACUUCUUUUUUAAAGUGAUACCAUUUGAGCUGAGACAGGAAUGGUGGGAUGAAGCCAGCCGUGAAGGGAGUCGGAAAAGCCUUCUAGAGAAAAGGCAUAGCAAGUGCAAAGGCACUGAGGCUGGGCAUGCUCAGGAUGUGACCCACAGCCUCAGGAAUUUGCUUGGAGCUGUAGCUGAACUUCUCUAAUUUGGGUUGCUCUUAUUUUCAUACCAAGAUCAAAAGAAAUAUUUGAAGAGAGUACUGGUCUUAGAAGUUAAAAUGAGCUUGAUCCUGUUCAGCUUUUCUAGUCAUAUCUUAAUAACUUUGGUCAAGUUAUUUAACCCCCCUUGGCCUCAGUCCUGUGAUCUGUGACAGGAGGGUGAUGGUUGGGUAAACGUCCUUUCUGCCCUUAGGGGUACACAGUGGCAUGUCAGUGAGGACAACCCACAGACAGACUAUAGACACUGUUCAUCUUUGUGGGCUAUUAAUUCCACUAAGACUUGGGAAAAAUUAUAUGUGAAUAAUAUUCUGCACUAGAACACAAAAUUCCCUUGCAUUUGAAAGCUUAAAAGUCAAACGUCGAAGAUAUUUCAUGCUUUUGACAGGCCACUUUAGGCACGAUUUCCAUCCUCAUCAAAACAUUUCCCUCAUGGAUUUCAGUGGAAGAGUUUGAAAAGCAUUAAUCUAGACACUCUCUAAGAUUUUUUCCAGCUGUGAUUCUAGGACCGCGAUUCUGAAAGAGUCCUUCCUCUUUGAGUUAUUUAUUGCUAACUUUCUGCCUCUGUGAAUGAAUGAAUUAUCCACAGAAUAUUGUCUUACGUUGCUUUUAACUCAAGGGAACUCCUUUUCACCAAAGAACUUUAAAGCCAAACAUCAAGGAUAUUAAACAACAAGUUUUGAGAGAGGGGAAAGGACCUUAUAAAUUAUUUGUGGAAAGUGUUUUGAUUUUACAGCAAUAAUUACAGAUGCCUCACUCUCUAGCCAGGUCUUAAAGGAGAUGUGCUGCCUUUGUGGUCAGCGUUUUUAUUUGAAUAUACCCAUGUAUCUAAAAGUGCAUUUCUGGAAUUCCCAUCGUGGCUUGGUGGUUAACGAAUCUGACUAGGAACCAUGAGAUUGCAGGUUCGAUCCCUGGCCUUGCUCAGUGGGUUAAGGAUCCAGCGUUGCCGUGAGCUGUGGUGUAGGUUGCAGACGUGGCUCAGAUCCCAUGUUGCUGUGGCUCUGGCGUAGGCUGACGGCUACAGCUGCAAUUCGACCCCUAGCCUGGGAACCUCCAUAUGUCGCGGGAGCCGCCCAAGAAAUAGCGAAAACACACACACACACACACACACAAACAAAAGUGCAUUUCUUCCCUCCUAACCUGGAGUUCACCCAGUAGCUUCCAGAGGAUUAUAUUAUAGCAGGAUACUUUUAACUGUAAGCAACACUAUCCCCUGCUUACACUGACACAAACAGUAAACAGAUAUAGUACCCCAUGUAACUGGAAGCCAGAAGUUGGGCAUUUCUGGUUCCAUUUUUCUAGGAUCUCACCUCUACUCCCCAUGUCACCUUUUUUCUCAAACUGGCUCCUAUCGUGGUCCCAAGAUAAUUGCCACUGCUAGUGGCAGUUGUCCCUAAUUAUAGUGGAAGAAAGGGCUUCUUUCCAGCCAUAGACUAAAAAUUCUUUCUUCUGGCCUGAUUGGUUGACUUAGGUUGUGUGCUCGCUUCUGAACCAUCAAGAUCAAGGCGAAUGAGACGAUCACGGUAAGAGGAGGCUCCCUAGACUCAGCCUUGGAUCCGGGGAUAAGAUCUACUUCCCCUGAGAACUAGGGAAACCUGAGCUAAAUCACGCUCCAUUACGGAGGAGGAGGGGGAGACGGGGACCUUAUAGGUAGGAGUCCAUAGCAAUGACUAGAGAUGUUUUAACAGUGAAUGCUAAUUUGUCCUUUACUGCUGGCAGCCAAGUUCUGUGGAGCAGCAGUUUCCUAAUUGCCAACAGAAACGGAGAGGGACUGAAAAUUUUCACUUAGAAGAUGUUUACUGAGUCCCUACCGGGUUUUAAGAACCAAAACCGACAGAGUAGUCAUGUAAACAAAUAGUAAGUGUAGUGAUUAGAAUGACCGAGUGCAUAGGGAUACAUCUUAUUGAUCUUAUUCACUUUCCAUCAAUAUCUGCUCCAUGCUAAGCUCUAUGGGAGCAGAGACUUCUCCACUGCUUUGUUCACUGUAUCUCAUAGCUAACACACUGCCUGACACAUACUAAGCAUGCCACACAUAUUUAUUGAAAUAAGGUUUAUUGGAGCCAGAAUCAUCCAUCAGUGAUUUCUGAAAGGAUAAUGGCAUAAUAGAGACACGUACCGCAGAAACCCAUUUAUAGGCUGGAAUAGUUGGAGGGUUCUGUGAGGUAAGACUGAGGAGGUAUGUUAAUUCCUUCUUACUUGGAGAGUGUUAGUAUAUAAUGAAGGAAUUCUGAUGUCAGGAAAGCUCUGAGACUUUGUCAUAAUGUAACAAGUUGGAUGAUUUCUACACCCUAGAAGGCGGUAACAGUUUUUAUUGAAUGUUUACUAUGUGUUAGGUGCUGUGCUAAAUGUACAACUAAUGUAAAUAUCAAAUUUACCACAGCACCUAACACAAUGCACAUUCAAUAAUGAAUGAAUGAAUGAAUGUAUGGUGAGCUUUCUAAACAGAUUUGUGAGACUGUUAUGAUUAGAUUAAAUAGUUCAUACCCGACUGUGCCUUCCUGAAUGUAUUUUUUUUCUUUGCUUUUCAUGGUGUGAUCUGUGAUAUUCGUGCUUUGUGAUUUUAAUGGCGAGCUAUAUUUCUAGUGGAAAAAUGUAAGCUAGUGAAAUGUGCUUUGACUCAGUAUUCCAUGUCAAACAAGAGUCUGAUUAUUUGGAGCACACAGGCAUAGAUUUUGCACCUAAAAGAAUUGCCUUCUUGGGAGUUUCCAUGGUGGCUCAGCAGGUUAAGAACCUGACUAAUAUCACUGAGGGUGUGGGUUCCAUCUCUGGCCUCGCUCGGUGGUUGCCGCAAGCUGCAUUUUGGAUCUGGGAUCCCACGUUGCUGUGGCUGUGGUACAGGCUACCAGCUGCAGCUCCAGUUCAUCCCUAGCCUGGACACUUCCACAUGCUGCAGGUGUGGCCCUAAGAAAAAAGAAAAGAGAGAAAUUACCUUCUUAAUGUCUGAAAGCAAAUAACCUCAAGGUCUACCAACCAAAUAUGUAGAUUGCUAUCUAAAGUCCUACGGAAUGGUUUGGCAGUGUAUUUGGAAAGGACUCAAAAGCCCAUGUAAUCCACCUUCCCAUCUCAUAGAUGGAAAGCAGGAGAUCAGACCCGUGGGCUGGUGGCCUGCUACUUCCGUGCUGGCCAAGUGGGAGAGACAGAACUCAAGCUCAGGUUUUUCACCAGAGCUGCAGUGCUUCAACCACGUGAGGAAAUAAAGGAGAACUGAGAGCAGCAGGCUGAUUUUCAAAGUUUGAUUUUAGGCAAUCGCUUAGCUUCGAGCCAUGGGGGUCUUGCAAGUCUUGAAUAGACCUUUAUUUCACUAAUGGGCCAUUUGGCAUAAGGAAAAAAAUUAAAGUAACAAUCUCCUUAGGUGGUGGAGAACAUUAUUCUAUGGAAAAGACGGAAGUUAUUGUCAGAGGAAGUGGCAACAUUGACUGUAUAACACUGGGAAUUUAAACAAAAACUCCUUGGUGGCUCCUUCGGAAGUACAUGGUGGGGUAAUGACUUUGCUGACAUUGAAGAGGAAAUGUUCCUUUGAGAACGCAGCUUCCGUUGCCACAUCGAGGAGACUAUCAGUUUACCUCUUAGAAUAUUUAUUAUCAUUGUUCUUGUACUAAAAUGUCUGAUACAUUUAGUCACUUUAUUCACCUACUUUCUUGCUGUUUCAUUCUUUCUUCCUUUUUGCUUUUUAGAGCUGCAUGUGCAGCAUGUGGAAGUUUCUGGGCUAGGGGUCAAAUCGGAGCUGCAGCCGCUGGCCUAAGCCAUAGACACAGCAAUGCAGAAUUCAAGCCCCUACACCACAGCUCACAGCAAUGCCAGGUCCUUAACCCUCUGAGCGAGCCCAGGGAUCGAACCUGUGUCCUCAUGGAUACUAGUUGAGCUUGUUACCUCUGCGCCACAACGGGAGUUUCCCUGCUAUUUCUGUUUAUUCAGAAAUUUCCUCAAACAGGUUUGACGAUAAUCCACGACAUCCUCCAGUUAUCCCUGUCAUUUUAUCCCCUCUAAAUGGCCGGGACAGAUGAAAACUCCGUCAUUGUUCAUUCACUCUUCUGUAUAAUGUAGAGGGAUAUUGCGUGAUACUUCCCAGUGGCCAUACAUACUUGAGAAUGUAGUUCUACUUUAUUUUCAAAAUAAUUUUUUUUUUUUUCUGGAACGUUGUUCCUGGACAAGCUCACAGCAAGUUUGCGUACUUUGCAUCUGGCUUGGCAGUUUGCCCCAAACCCAUUUCACUAAUACUGUCAUGUUCUGUGUCCCCUUGUAGGGAUCAGUGUGUAUGUAGAGAUCUUUACUUAGUUAUU